UCUACCUAGAGGGUUUCUGUCGAUCAAGGGCGAGAGUAGGAGUAUCCAACAGGAUUAGAGACCCUGGUAGUUCCUACCUUAAACGAUGCCGACAGGAGUUUGUCAUUUGUUAAUGGCAGAAUCUUUGGAGAAAUCAUAGUUCUUGGGCUCUGGGGGAACUACGACCGCAAGGCUGAAACUUGAAGGAAUUGACGGAAGGGCACACCAGGGGUGGAGCCUGUGGCUUAAUUUGAAUCAACACGGGGAAACUUACCAGGACCAGAUGUUUUUUAUGACUGACAGGCUUCGGGUCUUUCAGGAUAUUGUUUUUGGUGGUGCAUGGCCGUUGGUGGUGCGUGGGUUGACCUGUCUAGCGUUGAUUCAGCUAACGAGCGAGAUUAUCGCCAAUUAUUUACUUUGCCGAAGUCCUUCGGUUAAAGUUCUAAUUGGGACUCCCUGCGAUUUUAGCAGGUGGAAGAGGGUAGCAAUAACAGGUCCGUGAUGCCCUUUAGAUGCUCUGGGCUGCACGCGUGCUACAAUGUUAGGAUCAAUAGGACUGCGAGCCUGAGAGGGUGCGCUACUCUUAUAAUCCCUAACGUAGUUGGGAUUGACGUUUGUAAUCAGCGUCAUGAACCAGGAAUCCCUUGUAAAUGUGUGUCAACAACGCACGUUGAAUACGUCCCUGCCCUUUGUACACACCGCCCGUCGCUCCUACCGAUUGGAUGACUCGGUGAAAUCACCGGAUGCUUACGAACAGAAAGUGAUUAAAUCACGUUAUCUAGAGGAAGGAGAAGUCGUAACAAGGUAACGGUAGGUGAACCUGCCGUUGGAU
Molecule: non-coding RNA, 811 nt
Filed under: Trichomonas vaginalis G3
Lineage: Eukaryota; Parabasalia; Trichomonadida; Trichomonadidae
Description: Eukaryotic small subunit ribosomal RNA
Rfam family: Eukaryotic small subunit ribosomal RNA
Source: Rfam by way of RNAcentral